GGUGGUGAGCACCUUGUCCUAGAAGGUAAUCAACAACAUCCCCCUAGAUGUGCGGUUUCAUGGUGCUGUGUGGCAUCAGGAGUUCACCAGACUGGACUCCUGUGGGUCUCAGGCUCCCCCAAGGCCACGCCCCAGGAGGAUUCAGUGGGGACAGAGGGUCAGCAGGUCUUGCCGGGUGCAGCCGCUGAGGCAGCAGUGGCGGGCAGGGUUGACGGCAGUUGCACGGCGGGGGGGGGGGGGGGGGGGGGGGGGGGGGGGGGGGCGCCCCCCNNNNNNNNNNNNNNNNNNNNNNNNNNNNNNNNNNNNNNNNNNNNNNNNNNNNNNNNNNNNNNNNNNNNNNNNNNNNNNNNNNNNNNNNNNNNNNNNNNNNAAGGGUUCUUCGGCCAUCUAGGGGACCCCCACGGCUCCCCCUGCCAGGGGCCCGGGGCGGGGAGGCGGGGCCAGUCAGGAAGAUGCAAGCCUAAGGCCCUGACCACCCUUUUCCUGUUCUUCUCCCUCCAAGCGUUCAAAUUUUCACACCCUAAGUUUCCGCCUGAGAAGCAUCGACUGACUAGUCUCCCUCCUGGGUCCUUCAGGAGAGAAAGACCCCAAAAGUGGGCAGGGGAGGGAGGUGACAUUAAUUCGAUGCAUACAAAAAAUUAAAGACCACAAAUACAGGUAAUUCUGUAAUUAUAAAAACAGCAUGCAUGCAUAUUUCUCCUUUUGUCUCAACUGAUUUUAAAAAGCAGUUGUAUAAAAAUUAUUAAUUUUAUUUGGGGGCUUAUAACAUGUAGAAAGGUAAUAUAUUUGUCAAUAAUAGCACAAAGGAGAUGAGAGGAACAAUGCUGUAUUGAAAUCAGGAAUUAACACCAGGUAAUAAUGUUACCCAAAGUGGGGUCUGGCUGUUCACUGCUCAAAAGCCAAUAAAAAGGCAAGUUGGUGGAAAAGCAAGUUUGCUUUAUUUUGCAUGCUGGCAACUGGGGUGCAGGGGAGGUGGAUUCCUUCCAAAGGCUGACACCUCCCCCCCUCCACUGACAAUCAGUGGGCAAGAGGUUUUAUAGACAGAGGGCAGAAACAGCACAGCCAGCUCUGACAGUCAUCUUCAAACUGGCCGCUCAGAGGUCUGCAGCUCACCCUGACUGUUUCCACAGAGUUAAUCUUCAGUUCCAGGGUCAGUUUGUCCCCAAGUCCUUGAGGCCAGUUCUCGAAAUCAUAACAGCUUAGCUUAUGUCAUGCCUAUGGUCUGGUUAUCACGCAGUUCACGCCUGCCACCUGGUAGGGAUUUCAGUAUCUUAAAGACAGCACACAGCAUACCACUCAGAAUGUUAUUUACAACCCAUGAAGAGGAACUAAACGUCCUUGACUAUGUUUAAUGACUAAACUGUUACUGCUUAGUCUUGUUGAACUGUUUCCCUUGUGUUUCUGCAUUUUCUCACUUCUCUGAUUAAACUUAUUCUUCGGCUAAAGUUUUUUGUCACAGACGGAAGGCAGGCAAAAGACAUGGGUCUUUUUGUCACAGACAAAAGGCAGGCAGAUGAGCAUAGGGUCCUGCUCUAUUCUGGUAACUCUAAUUGACAAAAACAAAGGAAUCGAACCAGAAAUUCAAAAAGAGAAAACCAAUGUAACAACUCUAGAUACUUGCCCUCCUUUAUUUUCUUGGAUUCUUUAUCAAACAUGUAACUGCAUGGAGUAAUCAUUAUAACAAUGUAUUAUUUGUUCUGUAACACAGGUGGAUGCAAUAUGUAAAACAAUUAUAGUAUAAUAAUAACAAUAAUAGCAUGGGCUUCCCUGGUGGGUCAGAUGGUAAAGAAUCUGCCUGCAAUGCAGGAGACCUGGCCGGGUUCCAUCACUGAGUCGGGAAGAUCCCCUGGAGAAGGGAAUACAAAUUCCAGUAUUCUUGCCUAGAGAAUUUUAUGGACAGAGGGGCCUGGUGGGCUACACAGUCCAAGGGGUCGCAGAGAGUCAGAACUGAGCGACGUUCAGACAUAAUAAUAGGACAAAAUGGGGAAGAGGAAAUGAGAUAUGUAAGAUCAACAUUUCUAUAUAUGUCCUUAACAUUUAGGCAGCAUAGAGACUUCCCAGAUGGUCUAGUGAGUAAGGCUUUGUGCUGCAAACGCAGGGGCCCAGCUUUGAUCCCCUGAUGAGGAAAUAGAUCUUACAUGUAUGAUGCAACUAAGAGUUAGCAUACUGCAACUAAGACUCAGUGCAGCCAAAAUAAAUAAAUUUUUUUUUUAAUUUAAGACGGCAAAAAUCCAAGGAGAUUCUAAGUUGAAAUGCAUAUAGUAAGCCCUAGAACAGUCAUUAAGGAAAUAACUCAAUAUAUAUACCGAAAAAAAUCAUUAAAGGAAGUAAAAUGUUAUGUUAGAAAAUAGUUGCUUCAUGCAACGGUAAGCAGUAAAGAAAUAAACAAGUGGGACUACAUCAAACUGAAAAGCUUCUGCACAGCAAAAGAAACCAUCGACAAAAUGAAAAGACAAACUCCAGAAUGGGAGAAAAUAUUUGCAAACUCUGUAUCUGAUAAGGGGUUAAUAUCCAAAAUACACAUAGAACUCAAAACCCAAACAAUA
This 2546-nucleotide long non-coding RNA is filed under the name Ovis aries (sheep). Its description in RNAcentral is "lncRNA (ENSOARG00000025286.1)". Lineage: Eukaryota; Metazoa; Chordata; Mammalia; Artiodactyla; Bovidae. The record is from RNAcentral.